This 301-nucleotide ribosomal RNA is filed under the name uncultured bacterium. RNAcentral describes it as "partial 16S ribosomal RNA". It matches the Rfam family "Bacterial small subunit ribosomal RNA", at positions 509 to 807 of the family's 1533-position model. The record is from RNAcentral.
CAGCAGCCGCGGGAAUACGUAGGUGGCAAGCGUUGUCCGGAAUUAUUGGGCGUAAAGGGCUCGCAGGCGGUUUCUUAAGUCUGAUGUGAAAGCCCCCGGCCCAACCGGGGAGGGUCAUUGGAAACUGGGAAACUUGAGUGCAGAAGAGGAGAGUGGAAUUCCACGUGUAGCGGUGAAAUGCGUAGAGAUGUGGAGGAACACCAGUGGCGAAGGCGACUCUCUGGUCUGUAACUGACGCUGAGGAGCGAAAGCGUGGGGAGCGAACAGGAUUAGAUACCCGCGUAGUCCCUGUCUCUUAUAC